ACAACUAAGAUUAUUCUAGAUCGACAAUCCUUGAUGAGUUAGAGUGAAAUUAUUCCAAUCUAUUGAAAAGAGUUUCAAUGAUACUUUGAUAGAAAUUAUUGAAUAUCUCACUACCAAAUAGAAUUAAAUUUAUGGAGUUACACAACAAAGAGAUUAGGCUUAAAAUUAGCAAUUGGACUUAUGAGGUGUCAAUUGGGUUUAGAGAAGCCCGAUUGGAUUCAAGGUAACUUUGCUAGCACAUGGCUGGACCCAAUUUUUUCUUUACAUUUAAAUUUCUUAUUUGAUAAGAAAAUUUAAAUUUAAUUAUCUGUUAAUAAUCUAAAUAAAUUAAAUUCAAUGAAUUUCAAUUGUUGGGUGUCUAAGACUUUGGAUCAAAUAAAUUAAGGGUGCAAAGUUCUUAAUUUAUUUUCUUGAUAGUUUAGUUGGGGCAUCGCC
RNAcentral lists this long non-coding RNA (435 nucleotides) under Elaeis guineensis (African oil palm). RNAcentral describes it as "long non-coding RNA (EGUI_LNC068016)". Lineage: Eukaryota; Viridiplantae; Streptophyta; Magnoliopsida; Arecales; Arecaceae. The record is from RNAcentral.